GGCGGGUGCCUGUAAUCCCAGCUACUCAGGAGGCUGAGGCAGGAGAAUUGCUUGAACCCGGGAGGCAGAGGUUGCAGUGAGCCAAGAUCAAGCCAUUGCACUCUAGCCCGGACGACAGAGCGAGACUGUCUCAAAAAAAAAAAAAAAAAAAAAAAAGAAAGAAAGAAAAAGAAAAAAGAGAAGGUUAAAUAGGUGUUAAGAAGCGUGGCUCUCACAUAGCUAUAAAAUGAGCACGUGUUCAUUUCAUGUCUCCUGGGCUGAGCACUGUCCCCCAAAAGAACACUGUCCAGCCCCUGGCACUAUUAUUUUUAUUUUUUUAAGAGACAGGGUCUCACUCUGUGGCCCAGACUGGGGUGCAGUGAGGCGAUCAUGGCUUGCAGCAGCCUCGACAUCCUGGGAUCAAGGGAUCCUCCCUUCUCAGCUUCCCAAGUAGCUGGGACUAUAGGCAUGCACCACCACACCUAGCUAAUUUUUAAAUUUUUCUGUAGAGACAGUGUUUUUUUUUUUUUUUUUUUUUUUUUUUUGAGACAGAGUUUCACUGUUGUUGCCCAGGCUGGACUGCAAUGGCACGAUCUCUGCUCACCGCAACCUCCGCCUCCCGGGUUCAAGUGAUUCUCGUGCCUCAGUCUCUCAAGUAGCUGAGAUUACAGGCAUGCACCACCACACCCGGCUAAUUUUGUAUUUUUAGUAGAGACAGGGUUUCUCCAUGUUGGUCAGGCUGGUCUCAAACUCCCGACCUCAGGUGAUCCGCCCGCCUCGGCCUCCCAAAGGGCUGGGAUGACAGGCGUGAGCCACCGCGCCCAGCCCGAGACAGUGUUGAUUGCUUGAGUCCUAGUCUCAAGCAGUCCUCCCCACCUCCGCCUCCCAAAGCGCUGGGAUUAUAGGCAAGAGCCACUUAACUCAGCCCUGACGUGUUGAUAGCGACAGGAGGCAGCCAAAUGCAUAGGCAGAUAGGGCGGGUCCCCGGUGAAACCACACCUCCAAGCCAAAAAGCCUGAAGCCUGAAAGACAGAACUGCUGGUCUGGGAUGAAACUCGAGACCCAGAGCGAGAACUUCUGUUCCUGUUUGCCUGCCCUUUCCUGAUGGGUUCUUUCCGAAUAAUGCUUUUAGUUUAUAUUAUUAUUAUUAUUAUUAUUAUUAUUAUUAUUAUUAUUAUUUUGAGAGAGAGAGCCUCACUCUGUCACCCAGGCUGGAGUGCAGUAGCACGAUCCUGGCUGACUGCAACCUCUACCUCCUGGUGCAAGCAAUUCUCAUGCCUCAGCCUCCCCAGUAGCUGGGAUUACAGGCGAACGUGAAUGCUACCACACCCAGCUAUUUUUUGUAUUUUAGUAGAGAUAAGGUUUCACCAUGUUGCCCAGGCUGGUCCCAAACUCCUGAUCUCAGAUGAUGAUCUGCCUGCCUCAGCCUCCCAAAGUGUUGGGAUUACAGGCAUGAGCCACAACACCCAGCCUGAAUAAUGCUUUUAACCAGUUGAAUGUUGCCUUCUCUAAUACUACCUAUGACCUGCCCCUCCCCAAUACUGAGCCCAUAAAAGCCCUGGACUCAGCCACAUUGAGGGGACUUUCCUGCCUUUAAGUAGGGGGACCACCCCCAAAUCGCCUCUCUGUUGAAAACUGUUUUAUCACUCAAUAAACCCCCCACCUAUUGUAUCACUCAAUAAAAUCUCCACCCUCACUCUUCGAUUGCCAGUGUAUCCCCAUUCUUUGUGGGUGCAGGACAAGAACUUGGGAACCAGUGCACAAGCCAGACUCGGCCCAGGUGGGGUGAGUGGGCGAGCUGUCUCUGCAGCAGGUAUUGUGGCCCAGCGAGGCCCAGGUGGGGCAUCGUCGGCUGGAGGUCCCUGGCUUGCAAAGUGACUGAGAAUAAAAUUGUUCAUCAAUUUUAAGUCACUAACUUUGUGGUAAUUUGUUCUGGCAGCCCUAGGAAAUGAGGACAGUGUGUCAAAGGUUCAUUUAACUAAUUAAUUUAGCUGGGUGUGGUGGCUCAGGCCUGUAAUGCCAACACUUUGGGAGGCCCAGGCAGGUCCUGAGGUCAGGAGUUCAAGACCAGCCUGGCCAACAUGGCGAAACCCCGUCUCUACUAAAAUUACAAAAUUAACUGGGCAUGGUGGCGCAUGCUUGUAGUUCCAGCUACUUGGGAGGCUGAGGCAAGAGAAUCACUUGAACCCGGGAGGCAGAGGUUGCAGAGAACCGAGAUCUCGCCACUGCACUCCAGCCUGGGCGACAGAGCAAAACUCUAUCUCAAAAAAAACAAAACAAAACAAAAAAAACUGACCACAGUGGCUCAUGCCUGUAAUUCCAGCACUUUGGGAGGCUGAGGCAGGCAGAUCACCUGAAGUUGGGAGUUCCAGACCAGCCUAACCAACAUGGAAAAACCCUGUCUCUACUAAAAAUACAAAAUUAGCCAGGCGUGGUGGCCCAUGCCUGUAAUCCCAGCUACUCGGGAGGCUGAGGCAGGAGAAUUGCUUGAGCUCAGGAGGUGGAGGUUGCAGUGAGCCGAGAUUGAGCCAUUGCACUCCAGCCUGGGCAAAAAAGUGAGACCUUGUCUCAAAAUAAAAUAAAAUUAAAUUAAAUAAAAAAUAAAUCACACUGGGCCAUAAAAUGAAGCUGGUGUCAGCAAGUGUGGUCCAAUUAUUUACAUAGGUGCAGAAACAGUGCAAAUAUCCCAUAUAGGCCACCUUACGUUUGCUUUGCUGGAAGUUUUCAUAAGAAAUAUCAGAUUGGGGCUGGGUGCCGUGGCUCACACCUGUAAUCCCAGCACUUUGGGAGGCUGAGGCAGGUGGAUCACUUGAGGUCGGGAAUUCGCAACCAGCCUGAUCAACAUGGUGAAACUCUGUCUCUACUAAAAAUACAAAAAUUGCCGGGCGUGGUGGCUCACGCCUGUAAUCCCAGCACUUUGGGAGGCUGAGGCGGGCGGAUCACGAGGUCCAGAGAUCGAGACCAUCUUGGCUAACACGGUGAAACCCCGUCUCUACUAAAAAUACAAAAAAAAAAAAAAAAAAAAAUUAGGUGGGCAUGGUAGCACGUGCCUGUAGUCCCAGCUACUCAUGGCUGAGGCAGGAGAAUCACUUGAACCCGGAAGGUGGAGGUUGCAGUGAGCCAAGAUUGCACCACUGUGCCAGCCUGAGUGACAGAGUGAGACUCGGUCUCGAAAAAACAAAACAAAACAAAAAUUAGCUGGGGGUGGUGGCAGACGCCUGUAAUUUCAGCUACUCGGGAGGCUGAGGCAGAAGAAUCGCUUGAACCCAGGAGGCGGAGGUUGCAGUGAUCUGAGAUCACACCAUUGGACUCCAGCCUGGGUGACAAAAGUGAAACAGUCUCAAAGAAAAGAAAGAAAUAUCAGAGUGGACCUGUAUUGUUUGCUUCUUUGCAGAGGCAAGAAACGCAAUACCUAUAAUUUGGGUCAAUUUCUAUGUUCCUGGGCCUGCCAGGAAAUCACCUUCCUGGUCACCUGCAAGGCCUGGGGUCUGCACCCUCAGGAGGAUUUGCAGGCACUCCUUCAUAACAGCAACCCAAGGUCCGCAGCAGCGGCUGGUCAUCCCCAGUGAAAGAGCAGAACUCUCCAUAUGACAACCUGGACAAGGCCUUGGUGACCUAACCAAUUCAUCCAAUUGUCUUCUGUAAAAGGAGAAGAGUCUCUUAACUGAAUCUAUGUGCUGUGGUUUGAAAGUGUCCCCCAGAGUUCAUGGAUUGCAAACCUGAUCCCCAGUGUGGCAGUAUUGGAGGUGGGACCUUUUUAUUUUUUUCUGAGAUGGAAUCUCGCUCUGUCAUCCCAGGCUGGAGUGCAAUGGUGCGAUCUUGGCUUGUCGCAACCUCUGCCUCCCAGGUUCAAACAAUUCUCCCGCCUCAGCCUCCCGAAUAGCUGGGAUUACAGGCAUGUGCCACCACGCCUGGCAAAUUUUGUAUAUUUAGAGAGACGGGGUUUCUCCAUGUUGGUCAGGCUGGUCUUGAACUCCUGACCUAGUGAUCCGCCCGCCUCCACCUCCCAAAGUGCUGGGAUUACAGUCGUGAACCACCACACCCCGCCAGAGGUGGGACCUUUAAGAGGUGAUUAGGUCUUGAGGGCUUCACCCUCAUGAAGGGAUUAAUGCCAUUAUUUCGGGAAUUGAUUCCUUAUAAAAGGAUGAGUUUGGCCCCUUUCCGUCCAGCCACAUAAUGCCUGCUGGCAUGUUAUGUGGCAGCAGGAAGGUCCUCAUGAGAUGUGGCCCCUCCCUCUUGGACCUCCAAAUCUCCAGAACCAAUAAAUCCCAGUUUAUUAUCAAUUACCCAGUCUGUGGCAUUAUAGCAGCACAAAACGAACUAAGACACUGUAGGGUCCAGCCCUAUGGGGCUAAGCGGGUGUUGUCCCCAUGUGCAGAGACGAGAGAUUGUAGUAAAUAAAGACACAAGACAAAGAGAUAAAGAGAAAACAGCUGGGCCCGGGGGACCACUACCAUCAAGACGCAGAGACCGGUAGUGGCCCCGAAUGGCUGGGCGCGCUGAUAUUUAUUGCAUACAAGACAAGGGGGGCAGGGUAAGGAGGGUGAAUCUUCUAAGUGAUUGACAAGGUGAAGCAAGUCACAUGAUCAUAGGACAGGGGGCCCUUCCCUCUUAGGUAGCCGAAGCAGAGAGAGAAGGCAGCAAACGUCAGCGUUUUCUUGUAUGCACUUACAAGAAAGAUCAAAGACUUUAAGACUUUCACUAUUUCUUCUACUGCUAUCUACUACAAACUUCAAAGAGGAACUAGGAGUACAGGAGGAGCAUGAAAGUGGACAAGGAGCGUGAACAUUGAAGCACCACAGGGAGGGGUUUAGGCCUCCGGAUGAUUGCGGCCAGGCCUGGAUAAUAUCCAGCCUUCCACAAGAAGCUGGUGGAGCAGAGUGUUCCCUGACUCCUCCAAGGAAAGGAGACUCCCUUUCGCAGUCUACUAAGCAACGGGUGACUUCCCAGACACUGGCGUUAGGGCUUGACCAAGGAGCCCUCAAGCAGCCCUUAUGCGGGCGUGACAGAGGGCUCACCUCUUGCCUUCUAGGUCACUUCUCACCAUGUCCGUUCAGCACCCGACCCUAUAUCCGCCGGUUAUUCCUACGUUUUGUUAGUAAUGCAACAAAGAGUAAUGGUAAAAGCUAAUGAUUAAUAAUGCUUAUAAUAAUGAUUGAUAAUUGUCCAUGGUCAUCCCUAUAUCUAAUUUGUAUUAUGACUAUUCUUAUUCUAAAUAUUUUCUUUAUUAUACUGAAACAGUUUCUGCCUUCAGUCUCUUGCCUCGGCACCUAGGUAAUCCUCCGCCCACAAGACACCAUGCAAAUACCUACGUUGCCAUGAAAACUGAGGAGGCUCAGUAAGAGCCUCUGAGAAUCAAGGGCAGGAGGUGAAAGGACAAAUCUCUGGGGAAUCUCCAAAAUCAUGUAUUUAUUUUAUUUAGAGACAGAGUCUCGCUCUGUUACCCAGGCUGAAGUCCGGUGGUACAAUCAAGGCUCACUGCAGCCUAGACCUCUUGGGCUCAAGUGAUCCUCCUGCCUCAGCCUCCCGAGUAAGUGGGACUGUAGGCUCUCACCACCAUGCCCAGCCAAUUUUUAAUUUUUUGGUAGAUAUGGGAUGUCACUAUGUUGCCCAGGCUCAAGUUUUUUUUUUUUGAGACAGAGUCUUGCUCUGUCAUAGCCUAGGCUGGAGUGCAGUGGUGCAAUCUCAGCUCACUACAACCUCCACCUCCCGGGUUCAAGCGAUUCUUCUGCCUCAGCCUCCCGAGUAGCUGGGAUUACAGGCGUGCGCCACCACGCCCGGCUAAUUUUUGUAUUUUUAGUAGAGACGGGGUUUCACCAUGUUGGCCAAGCUGGUCUCGAACUCCUUAACUCAGGUGAUCCGCCCACCUCAGCCUCCCACAGUGCUGAGAUGACAGGUGUGAGCCACCGCACCCGGCUAAGGGUUUCAGUUUCUAUCAAGAUGUUUUGUCAUAUCUAAAACCAUCUUGGGCCGGGCGCCAUG
Molecule: long non-coding RNA, 5961 nt
Filed under: Homo sapiens (human)
Lineage: Eukaryota; Metazoa; Chordata; Mammalia; Primates; Hominidae
Description: HSALNT0145542
Rfam family: Metazoan signal recognition particle RNA (bases 2404-2551)
Source: RNAcentral